This is a long non-coding RNA of Equus caballus (horse), 4361 nucleotides long. RefSeq lists it as uncharacterized. Lineage: Eukaryota; Metazoa; Chordata; Mammalia; Perissodactyla; Equidae. The record is from RefSeq and is a predicted model, not a curated record.
CCUGGUGAACUCACAAGUCCCCAGGAAAAACAUUGCUUGCAAACAAGAAUGUUUUAUCAGCUCCUCAAAAGGAGCAAGCCUGGGACCUUGGGAGUUUGAAACAUUAUGAAGGAACCUGUUAUGAACAGAUGUGUAGGGGAAAGGUCAUUAUUGUGGGACGCUUGCGCAGGUUUAGGUCGCUGACUCACUGCUUUGGCAAAAGGCCGGCUUUGUUUAGAAGCUAUAAUAAUAAAGAGCCCGGCUAGCUCAGGGUAUAGAAAGAGAAGACUACUGCACAGCAACUGGUGUUCGUGUAUUCAUUUCGUCGGCAACAAGAAGUAACUCAGCCCAGGCAGCCGAGUUGGAAAGCCUGGGGUUGGCCUCUACUCUGCCCAGCAAGAGCUGUGUGAGCCUGGGGCUGACAACCAGCUCUCGGGACGACGGGCCUCUUGGGAAACUGCCCCACCCAGAACACUCACUGGGCUUGCCUUCCCUGCCUCCAGUGAGGACCAGACCCAUACCGACACAGAAAUGUCAGCUUUUCUUAAUACAAGGAGGGUGUGAGUCAACCGUGGUAAACAGACAACAAAGAAGGUUCCUUUCCUCGCCACUCAGGUCGACACGUACAUUCACCUACGUCAGCAUUCUGGGGCCAAUGGAAACCCACAGUGGCCUUCGCCCCAAGGCCCAGCUGUCUGACGGGCCUGCACCUCUCGCCCUGGAGACCACAAAGGCCGCAUGAGCAGCUUGUCAGGGGCGACCUAUUAGUUCUCAUGAGGAGCAUGAAGCAUUUGUUGGCUGUUGGGAAAGGCUUUCGGCGAGUGGGUGUCUCUUCUGAUAGGAUCCCCCAUCAUGACCUGCCAGUCCAACAUUACGGACAGAGAUCGUCUGUCGGGACUUGGCUUAGUCAGAGGAGUCAAGGAAGCCUUCCCUGGAGAAGCGGCAUCUGAGCUCACAUUUGAAGGUUGACCAAGGGUUGAGGAGCAUGGGGAGGAAAGCCGGGGUGGAUUAUUCAAGGCGGAGGACCCAUGUCUGCAAGGCCUGUGCCUCUGCGCGGGGGGAGUCUGGAGAAGACCUGAGGUCCAGAACCUGGAGGAAGGCCAGCAUGGGUCAGAAAGGAAACCGACGGACUACAGUGUCAGCCACUCAAGCUUCCCAUGCCAGCACUCAUGCUGAGGCCUCUGGCAAGGGCUGCAGUGCAAGAUUGGGACGUUGGGAGCACUGGACGUUGCCCAGCCUCUGCAGGGACGGUAGGUGGCACUGUCGGCACAGACAUCGCUGCUGCUGGAGCCACGAAACUGAGGCUCCGGGGGACCUUGGAGGACAAUGCCGUGAUGCUCCCGAAACUGGCUGCUCCCUUCUCCGGGCCCUGGGAGGGAAGACAACAGCAGACAACUGCACCUGACCCAUGAUGGAUGUGUAGUGUGAGCAAGCAGUGAACUCUGUUGCUGUAAACCACUGAGAUCUGGGUGCUGUUUGUUACUGCAGUGUAACCUAGACCAUCCUGGCUCAUCAAGCAAAGCCCCUGGAAAUAAUGGUACUAUUUGCAGAGCACCAUGAAAGGUGCAUAGCUUUAAUUUCUUAUAUAAACUAGAAUUCUUGUUAGCAAUAAUGAGUAUCACUUAUGAGCGCUCACUAUGACUCAGGCAUCAUACUAGUUUCUUUGGCAAAUGUUUCCCCAUCUAUUCCAGCACGGCUGCGUGAAUUCGUUAUCACUGGCCUGUUGAGUAUCUUUUGUCUUGUCACAGAGGUCAAGGGACAGAGGCUGAGGGAACCUGAAGGUCAAGACCAUAGCUAGUAAGUGGUGGAAAUGAGAGUCAAGCGCAGGGUGUCUUGCCCCCAAACCCUCGCUCUUGCCACCACUAAGCUGCUAUUAUGUAUGAAACAUGACUAGGCCUAUCAAGGAAAAACCCCAUGCAUUUAAAAAAAAAAGGAAAUUCUCUCUUAACAGGAAAAACAUUAACAUCUGCCUUUUUACUCAAUUGAAGUGAAAGAUGACGUUGACGGGCUGAGCAAAGAUGCCCGCUCUCUGUGUCACGGUUGACGAGAGAUAUUCUGUGUCUUCUCCUCGGAUUGAGCUGUCUGCCAGACAAGCAGCAGCAGGCACAAAAGAUGGAAGAAAAGUGUAAAGAGGAUCAUUUUUUCCUUUCCUUGAAAUGUUUAUGUGCAAGCUGGGAAAUUGCCUGCAUUAUGCGUUUUUCCAAUGGAACGGUCUGAGAGCUUUCCGCCCCAGGGAUAACUUCAGGGGAGGAAGAUCAGAGCACCUCCUUGCUCACGCAGUCUCGCCUGCCUCAGAGGCCCUUCCUCUCACCUCUGACCCGCUAACCCAGAGGGCUCAGCUCCACUGUGGCUGCAUUGCAGGCCCUCCCUGUCCCGCCAGGCUGGGCUCCCUCCAUCACCCCACGGGGACGUAUGGAAGUGAAAUGACUUAACCUCCAUUUGAAUCAGUCUUCCCACCUGUAAAAUGGGAAUAACGGUGGUGCCCAUCUUACACAGUUGUGAUGGAAAUUAAAUGAACUGGUACUUGUCGUGUGCUUAGCCCAAAGCCUGGCUGUGGUAAGAACUCAACUAAAAAUUAAUAGUAUUGUAUAAUAAUUAAUAAUAAACAUUCACUGAACGGAACUGAAAAACCUGGAAUAAGAAAAUUCAAGUUUGCCAAAUGUUCGAAUCGGGGGGUGGUGGCCCACUGUAGAAGGAAUCAGUCUGUCUUCCUGGAGGCUUCACACAGUUUUUCUCGAAAUAUCCAGCUUCCCCCAACUCUUCGAAAUAGGAAUGUUUGAAAACAACCAAGUAGAACUCAUUGGUGAUGCUGUGUCCUUUCGAACGUAGUCCACAGCCUCUCUCUGGGACAAAGGUGAGUUGAUUCACUCGAUUGAUAUUUGUUGAGCUCCUGCUGUACGCAUGCCAGGCACCGGUCUAGGUGCCAGGGAAGCAGCUGUGAACAGAACAGACAACGCCCUGUCCGCAGGGCGGGUAAGGAGGUAGAAGAGGAAGCCCUUCUCCACCCCACCCCUGAUUAGGAGGCUAUAGCAUGACACACGGACAAAGAGGGAGGGAAGCCAGGCAGCAGGUGGCGCCAGGAGAAUCUGGACAUGCCCUCUGCUUUAGCUUUGAAGAAAUCGAAUUGGUUAUCUUCCUAGUUUGAGCAGGUGUGGGUCUGCUUGCAGGCAGGGGAUGCACUUGAUAAACCAGCUGGUCCUCUCGCCACCCCCACCCCACACACUCCCGCGUCCCCCUGCGCCGCCACAGUCACAAAGGGGAACCGGGCCUGGCCUCCUAGUGGCUCCUACUGGAAGUGACGUCUUGCAGGAGCCAGCUUUGUUCUUGUCAUCCCCCGGGGCCUGUCUGUGCCCGAGCCCAGUGACUGGUGGGGGAGCUGUAGUCUAGCUGCAGAGCCAUGAUUUCCUCCAAAAGCCGCUAACUGGCCCAUGACCUUGGCCUCAUUAACUUGGCACUCUCCACCUGAGCCGCCUGGAUCGGGGCCAGCCAGGGAAAUUAGCUCAGACCCACAGGCCCCUGGGAGAGGUGUCAGGCAAAAAUAGACCAGAGACAGCCAGAGAAUCCUUGAGCAGGAGGGCCCGUGGAGGUCAUAGGCUCCAGCAUCGUCCUAGCUCUACAGAUGGAGGCCGAGGCCAGGGAGGCAAAGGUGCCCAGCAUGGUCAUGCUGCAGUCGGCACAGAACUGGGGUGAGAAUGAGGGUCACCUGACUCCCAAAGUCACGCUCAUCCCUCACCUGUGCGUCCCAUCAGGUGUGGUCAGGGAGGGAGGGACAAUAGGAAUUGCAGAUACUGGAACAAUUCUUCAUAGGUCAUUGUUCUGUUAAAAAAAAAGAAAGCAAACAAGCAUAUAAAGAAGUAAAAACUGGCCUGCAACACAGAAAACUGCUGUGAAAUUUUUAAAUAGAUUAAAAAAAUGACACAUCAGCGGACAGUGUCACCUGGUAGGUGAAUGUGGGGACUCUGGAACUCCAAAGCCUGGGUUUGAAUUCCAGCUCCACUCCUUACUUGCUGUGUAUCUUUAAGUGCAUUGCUUUACCUCUCUGUGCCUCGCCUCCUUCACCUGCAAAAUAGGGAUAACAGUGGAGCCUGCCUUGUCAUGGUGGCGUGAGGGGGAGCUCAUGCAUGAAAAGCACCAUGACCCAGGGCCGCCGCAGAACUGCACUGAAUCAGGGUUGGUAGGGAAUGUCAACUGCACAGAAAGAGUAAGAAGAAAAGCAAAGGUCUACUUGCCCGCCUGGGCCCUUGCUCCAAAGUGAAUCUGUGUUAACAGCUCCCUGUGGACCCUUCCAGGAGGGAAGCCGUGCAGCCACCAGCACAUAUGUGUGUGCACCGUGUGUGCUGAGCAGUAUCCUUGCAAACACAGCAUUAAAGCAUCCUUCUUCA